RNAcentral lists this ribosomal RNA (502 nucleotides) under Heterocephalobus elongatus. RNAcentral describes it as "SSU rRNA". It matches the Rfam family "Eukaryotic small subunit ribosomal RNA", at positions 91 to 590 of the family's 1831-position model. The record is from RNAcentral. Lineage: Eukaryota; Metazoa; Nematoda; Chromadorea; Rhabditida; Cephalobidae.
GAAUGGCUCAUUACAACAGCAAUAAUUUACUUGAUCUUGACACAAUCCUACUUGGAUAACUGUGGUAAUUCUAGAGCUAAUACAUGCAUUAAAGCUCUGACCUCACGGGACGAGUGCAUUUAUUAGAACAAAACCAAGCGGCUUCGGCUGUUUUCGGUUGACUCAUAGUAACUGAGCUGAUCGCAUGGUCUUGCACCGGCGACGUGUCUUUCGAGUAUCUGCCGUAUCAACUUUCGAUGGUAGUGUAUCUGACUACCAUGGUGAUCACGCGUAACGGAGAAUAAGGGUUCGACUCCGGAGAGUUCGCCUGAGAAAUCGCGAACACAUCUAGGGAAGGCAGCAGGCGCGAAAAUUACCCACUCUCAGCACGAGGAGGUAGUGACGAAAAAUAACGAGACCGUUCUCUUUCGAGGCCGGUCAUCGGAAUGGGUACAAUUUAAACCCUUUAACGAGUAUCUAUGAGAGGGCAAGUCUGGUGCCAGCAGCCGCGGUAAUUCCAGCU